CAGCACCCCGAGUGGUCGGGACGAUUAUUGGGCCUAAAGCAUCCGUAGCCGGUUUUACAAGUCCUCCGUUAAAUCCAACUGCUUAACAGAUGGGCCGCGGAGGAUACUAUAAGACUAGGAGGCAGGAGAGGCAAGCGGUACUCAGUGGGUAGGGGUAAAAUCCGUUGAUCCAUUGAAGACCACCAGUGGCGAAGGCGGCUUGCCAGAAUGCGCUCGACGGUGAGGGAUGAAAGCUGGGGGAGCAAACCGGAUUAGAUACCCGGGUAGUCCCAGCUGUAAACGAUGCAGACUCGGUGAUGGACUAGCUUUAUGCUAGUCCAGUGCCGCAGGGAAGCCGUUAAGUCUGCCGCCUGGGUAGUACGGUCGCAAGACUG
Molecule: ribosomal RNA, 374 nt
Filed under: uncultured organism
Description: bacterial SSU rRNA
Rfam family: Archaeal small subunit ribosomal RNA
Source: RNAcentral